GACAGAGGGUGCAAACGUUGUUCGGAAUUACUGGGCGUAAAGAGCGCGCAGGCGGUCGUCCAAGUCGCGUGUGAAAGCCCCCGGCUCAACUGGGGAGGGUCACGCGAUACUGGUCGACUCGAAGGCAGGAGAGGGAAGCGGAAUUUCCGGUGUAGCGGUGAAAUGCGUAGAUAUCGGAAGGAACAUCAGUGGCGAAAGCGGCUUCCUGGACCAGCACCGACGUUCAGGCACGAAAGCGUGGGGAGCAAACAGG
RNAcentral lists this ribosomal RNA (253 nucleotides) under uncultured bacterium. RNAcentral's name for it is "partial 16S ribosomal RNA". It matches the Rfam family "Bacterial small subunit ribosomal RNA", at positions 524 to 776 of the family's 1533-position model. The record is from RNAcentral.